GGACUACCAGGGUAUCUAAUCCUGUUUGAUCCCCACGCUUUCGUGUAUGAGUGUCAGUAUAGGACCAGGUCGCCGCCUUCGCCACCGGUGUUCCUCCAGAUAUCUACGUAUUUCACCACUACACCUGGAAUUCCACGACCCUCUUCCUUACUCAAGUUUGGUAGUUUUGAAUGCCCUUCUUGGGUUAAGCCCAAGGAUUUCACAUCCAACUUACCAAACCACCUGCACACGCUUUACGCCCAAUGAUUCCGAACAACGCUAGGACCCCCCGUCUUACCGCGGCUGCUGGCAC
This 292-nucleotide ribosomal RNA is filed under the name uncultured bacterium. Its description in RNAcentral is "partial 16S ribosomal RNA". The record is from RNAcentral.